This 1495-nucleotide ribosomal RNA is filed under the name uncultured bacterium. RNAcentral's name for it is "partial 16S ribosomal RNA". It matches the Rfam family "Bacterial small subunit ribosomal RNA". The record is from RNAcentral.
AUGGUUUGAUCCUGGCUCAGGAUGAACGCUAGCGGCAGGCUUAAUACAUGCAAGUCGUGGGGCAGCAGGGGUGUAGCAAUACACUCGCUGGCGACCGGCAAACGGGUGCGGAACACGUACGCAACUUACCCUGAACUGGGGGAUAGCCCGGGGAAACCCGGAUUAAUACCCCGUAAUAUUAUGGUGUGGCAUCACAUUAUAAUUAUAGCUCCGGCGGUUCGGGAUGGGCGUGCGGCUGAUUAGGUAGUUGGUGAGGUAACGGCUCACCAAGCCUGCGAUCAGUAACUGGUGUGAGAGCACGACCAGUCACACGGGCACUGAGACACGGGCCCGACUCCUACGGGAGGCAGCAGUAAGGAAUAUUGGUCAAUGGACGCAAGUCUGAACCAGCCAUGCCGCGUGGAGGAUGAAGGCCCUCUGGGUUGUAAACUUCUUUUAUAGGGGACGAAAUCAACUAUUCUUAGUUGUCUGACGGUACCCACAGAAGAAGCCCCGGCUAACUUCGUGCCAGCAGCCGCGGUAAUACGAAGGGGGCUAGCGUUGUUCGGAUUUACUGGGCGUAAAGCGCACGUAGGCGGAUUGUUAAGUCAGRGGUGAAAUCCUGGAGCUCAACUCCAGAACUGCCUUUGAUACUGGCAAUCUAGAGUCCGGAAGAGGUGAGUGGAACUCCUAGUGUAGAGGUGGAAUUCGUAGAUAUUAGGAAGAACACCAGUGGCGAAGGCGGCUCACUGGUCCGGUACUGACGCUGAGGUGCGAAAGCGUGGGGAGCAAACAGGAUUAGAUACCCUGGUAGUCCACGCCGUAAACUAUGAGAGCUAGCCGUGGACGGUUUACCGUUCGUGGCGCAGCUAACGCAUUAAGCUCUCCGCCUGGGGAGUACGGUCGCAAGAUUAAAACUCAAAGGAAUUGACGGGGGCYCGCACAAGCGGUGGAGCAUGUGRUUUAAUUCGAAGCAACGCGAAGAACCUUACCAGCCCUUGAAUGCCAAGAGACUUCCAGAGAUGGAUUUCUUCCCUUCGGGGACUUGGACACAGGUGCUGCAUGGCUGUCGUCAGCUCGUGUCGUGAGAUGUUGGGUUAAGUCGCGCAACGAGCGCAACCCCUGUCCUAUGUUGCCAGCGGAUAAUGCCGGGGACUCGUAGGAGACUGCCGGGGUCAACUCGGAGGAAGGUGGGGAUGACGUCAAGUCAUCAUGCCCCUUACGUCUAGGGCUGCAAACAUGCUACAAUGGCCGGUACAAAGGGCUGCUAUUCCGCGAGGAUGAGCGAAUCCCAAAAAGCCGGUCUCAGUUCGGAUUGGAGUCUGCAACUCGACUCCAUGAAGUCGGAGUCGCUAGUAAUCCCGGAUCAGCACUGCCGGGGUGAAUACGUUCCCGGGCCUUGUACACACCGCCCGUCACACCAUGGGAGUCAGUUGCUCCAGAAGUCGCUAACCGUAAGGAGGCGCACCAAGGGGUGGUUGGUAACUGGGGUGAAGUCGUAACAAGGUAGCCGAAC